This is a long non-coding RNA of Rhododendron vialii, 617 nucleotides long. RefSeq lists it as uncharacterized. NCBI's taxonomy places the organism in Eukaryota, Viridiplantae, Streptophyta, Magnoliopsida, Ericales, Ericaceae. The transcript is spliced from 3 exons. The record is from RefSeq and is a predicted model, not a curated record.
AACAGAAGUCGACUUGACAAAAAAAAGAAACGAAAACAGAAGUCGGCCAGUCCGACUGUCAAUCCCGAUCGUCUCUCUCGCGCGAUGGUCUCUGGAAGUAGCAAACAAUGAGGUUAUGGAGGUUAGUGGAGUAAAUUGUGACGGCCCAUGGCCAACUAGAAAUGAGAAAAUCUUCAUUUGACUCAUGGACGAGGAGGUCAAAUCAAAGAAAAGUAGAGAAACUGGCACUUUCACAGGAGAAGCUUGGAAAAGGAUUAAGAUUGAGUUGAAAAGGCUAACCACAUACGAUUAUACAAACGAACAGGACUGUGUUGGAGCGAUUGACGGUACCCACAUAUCGGCUAGUGUUCCGGCAUGAAUCAUAGUGGAUGAUACCACUGCAAAGAGCUAGCGGGAGUAGUUCCCAAAAUCCAGUUGAGAUUGAUAUCACUCGUUCCGUCGUAUGUCCAAUGUUAGUGAUCGGAUUGCCAAACAAAUUUGGGCUAGCAUGAAUCAUAGUGGAUGAUACCACUGCAAAUGUAAUUAUCAUUAUUUAAAACUAUGUUACCCUUAUUUGAGGUUUGAACUCAAAGUGAACAUCAUUUGUGUGCUAUUGAUGGAUUUGAGUUUUGGUUUAA